UUGUGGGGUGGGGGGAGGGGGGAGGGAUAGCACUGGGAGAUAAACCUAAUGCUAGAUGACGAGUUAGUGGGUGCAGCGCACCAGCAUGGCACAUGUAUACAUAUGUAACUAACCUGCACAUUGUGCACAUGUACCCUAAAACUUAAAGUAUGAUAAUAAUAAAUUUUAAAAAAAUUUAUUUUGAAAAAAAAAAAAAAAAAAAAAAAGAAUUGGCUAACCCCAGGAGAGGCAGUCACUCCCCAGCCAGGAAGGUUUCUGGAUGCCAAAACAUCAUAAGACACAGAAAAUAAAAAAUAUAGGGCUGGGCGCAGUGGCUCAUGCCUAUAAUCCCAGCACUUUGGGAGGGCGAGGCGGGCAGAUCACCUGAGGUCAGGAGUUGGAGACCAGCCUGGCUAACAUGGUGAAACCCCGUCUCUACUAAAAAUACAAAAAUUAUCCGGGCGUGGUGGCGGGCGCCUGUAGUCCCAGCUACUUAGGAGGCUGAGGCAGGAGAAACUCUUAAACCCAGGAGGCAGAGGUUGCAGUGAACUGAGAUCACGCCACUGCACUUAAGCCUGGGCAACAGAGUGAGACUGUCUCAAAAAAAAAAAAAAGAAAGAAAAGAAAAAAUAUAAACUAUACACAUCACAAAUUGCCCCCAAAACAACCAACAACAAACGUUGAUCAUCUCACAGUUUCUGUGGGACAGGAACCUGGGUGCAGAUUGCAGGGUCCUCCAGCCCAGGGUGUCUCCCAGGGCAGCAAUCAUGAGGUUGCCUGGGACCACAGCCCCCUCAAAAUCCAUCUGAGCAGGAUUCACUGUCAGGCUCACUCGAGUGGCAGGACUGAGUUGUUCCAGGGCUUUUGGCCUAAGGGCUUCGGUUCCCUGCCAUCUGAGCCUUUCCACAAAGCAGCUCACACUAUACAGCUGGCUUUCUCAAAGGGAGCGAGUGGGAGCAAGGGAGACGGCACCAGCAAGACAGAGUCACAGUCUCUUUUUAUUUUAAUUAAUUUUUUUAAUUUUUUUUUUUUUAGACAGUCUCCCUCUGUUGCCCAGGCUGGAGUGCAGUGGCACGAUCUUGGCCCACUGUAACCUCUGCCUCCCAGGUUCAAGUGAUUCUCCUGCCUCAGCCUCCCGAGUAGCUGGGAUUACAGGCACCCGCCACAACGCCGGGAUAAUUUUUCUAUUUUUAGUAGAGACGGGGUUUCACCAUGUUGGCCAGACUGGUCUCCAACUCCUGACCUCAGGCGAUCGCCUGCUUCGGCCUCCCAAAGUGCUGGGAUUACAGGCGUGAGCCACCACGACCAGCCUAUUAAUUUUUUUUUUAAUAGUGGCCAAAUAUAUAUAACACAAAAUUUAUUGUUUUAACCAUUUUAAAGUGUACCAUGAAAAUGUACACCAUUGUACAUACACAUUCACAGUGGCGGCACUGGGCAUAUUCAGAAUGUUGCACAAUCAUAAUUUCUAUGCAUUUCCAGAACUUCAUCAUGAUCCCAAAAAGAAACUCUGUACCCAUUAAACAAUACCUCCCCAUUCCCCCUUCUCCUCAGUCCCUGCUGGCCACUAUUCUACUUUCUGUCUCCAUGAAUUUGACUACUCCAAGUAUCUCAUAUGAGUGGAACCCUUCAAUAUUUGUCUCUUUGACUGGCUUAUUUAGCUUCACAUAAGGUCCUCAGGGUUUGUCCAUAUUGUAGCAUAUGUAAGAAUUUACUUCUUUUUUUUUUUUUUUUUUUUAUUUGACAGGGUGUUGCUCUGUCUGUCACCCAGACUGAAGUGCGGCAGUGCGAUCUCUGCUCAUUGCAGCCUGGACCUCCUGGGCUCCAGUCAUCCUCCCACCUCAGCCUCCUGAGUAGCUGGGACUAGUCAUCCUCCCACCUCAGCCUCCAGAGUAGCCAGGACUACAGGCAUGUGCCACCUCGCCCAGCUAAUUUUUGUAGAGAGGGGGUUUCACUGUGUUGGCUAGGCUGGUCUCCAACUCGUGACCUCAAGCGAUCCAUCCACGUCAGCCUUUCUUUCUUUUUUUUUUUUUUGAGACAGAGUCUUGCUCUGUCACCCAGGCUGGAGUGCAGUGAGUGGCGCAGUCUCGGCUCACUGCAAGCUCCACCUCCCGGGUUCACGCCAUUCUCCUGCCUCAGCCUCUCCGAGUAGCUGGGACUACAGGCGCCCGCCACCACGCUCGGCUAAUUUUUUUGUAUUUUUAGUAGAGACGGGGUUUCACCAUGGUU
Long non-coding RNA from Homo sapiens (human), 2205 nucleotides. Lineage: Eukaryota; Metazoa; Chordata; Mammalia; Primates; Hominidae. The record is from Ensembl.